CCUACGGGAGGCAGCAGUGAGGAAUAUUGGUCAAUGGACGAGAGUCUGAACCAGCCAAGUCGCGUGAAGGAUGACUGCCCUAUGGGUUGUAAACUUCUUUUAUAUGGGAAUAAAAUGUUCCACGUGUGGCUUUUUGUAUGUACCAUAUGAAUAAGGAUCGGCUAACUCCGUGCCAGCAGCCGCGGUAAUACGGAGGAUCCGAGCGUUAUCCGGAUUUAUUGGGUUUAAAGGGAGCGUAGGUGGAUUGUUAAGUCAGUUGUGAAAGUUUGCGGCUCAACCGUAAAAUUGCAGUUGAAACUGGCAGUCUUGAGUACAGUAGAGGUGGGCGGAAUGCGUGGUGUAGCGGUGAAAUGCUUAGAUAUCACGAAGAACUCCGAUUGCGAAGGCAGCUCACUGGACUGCAACUGACACUGAGGCUCGAAAGUGUGGGUAUCAAACAGGAUUAGAUACCCCUGUAGUC
RNAcentral lists this ribosomal RNA (460 nucleotides) under uncultured bacterium. RNAcentral's name for it is "partial 16S ribosomal RNA". It matches the Rfam family "Bacterial small subunit ribosomal RNA", at positions 338 to 795 of the family's 1533-position model. The record is from RNAcentral.